UGAAAAGCGAUGACAGGAAAUCCAGUAGUGCUUAUCUCCCUGUUCAAAAGAGAGUCGGUGGCCGGUGCGAACCGAUACAAAGAUAACACGAAAUACAUUCCUUGAGCUGUCUUUGAUAAACAAAGAACGGGCGACCGUUAAAUCGUUGAGCGGAAGGAAUUUUUCCUUCAAUAAGGGUGGUACCGCGUGAAAUAGUCAAACCACGUCCCUUUU
This 213-nucleotide non-coding RNA is filed under the name Bacillus sp. (in: firmicutes). RNAcentral's name for it is "Bacillus sp. T-box sequence". It matches the Rfam family "T-box leader". Rfam says of the family: Uncharged tRNA acts as the effector for transcription antitermination of genes in the T-box leader family. T-boxes are found upstream of many aminoacyl-tRNA synthetase genes and some amino acid biosynthetic genes usually in Gram-positive bacteria. The record is from RNAcentral. Lineage: Bacteria; Bacillati; Bacillota; Bacilli; Caryophanales; Bacillaceae.